Molecule: ribosomal RNA, 450 nt
Filed under: uncultured bacterium
Lineage: Bacteria
Description: partial 16S ribosomal RNA
Rfam family: Bacterial small subunit ribosomal RNA
Source: RNAcentral
GUGGGGAAUUUUGGACAAUGGGCGCAAGCCUGAUCCAGCAAUGCCGCGUGUGUGAAGAAGGCCUUCGGGUUGUAAAGCACUUUUGUCCGGAAAGAAAUGGCCUGGGUUAAUACCCCGGGUCGAUGACGGUACCGGAAGAAUAAGCACCGGCUAACUACGUGCCAGCAGCCGCGGUAAUACGUAGGGUGCGAGCGUUAAUCGGAAUUACUGGGCGUAAAGCGUGCGCAGGCGGCGAUGCAAGACAGAUGUGAAAUCCCCGGGCUCAACCUGGGAAGUGCAUUUGUGACUGCAUGGCUAGAGUGCGUCAGAGGGGGGUGGAAUUCCGCGUGUAGCAGUGAAAUGCGUAGAGAUGCGGAGGAACACCGAUGGCGAAGGCAGCCCCCUGGGAUGACACUGACGCUCAUGCACGAAAGCGUGGGGAGCAAACAGGAUUAGAUACCCCUGUAGUCC